This 609-nucleotide ribosomal RNA is filed under the name Pseudomonadaceae bacterium Ri2Ps_5142. RNAcentral's name for it is "bacterial SSU rRNA". It matches the Rfam family "Bacterial small subunit ribosomal RNA", at positions 404 to 1004 of the family's 1533-position model. Lineage: Bacteria; Pseudomonadati; Pseudomonadota; Gammaproteobacteria; Pseudomonadales; Pseudomonadaceae. The record is from RNAcentral.
UGUGAAGAAGGUCUUCUGAUUGUAAAGCACUUUAAGUUGGGAGGAAGGGUUGUAGAUUAAUACUCUGCAAUUUUGACGUUACCGACAGAAUAAGCACCGGCUAACUCUGUGCCAGCAGCCGCGGUAAUACAGAGGGUGCAAGCGUUAAUCGGAAUUACUGGGCGUAAAGCGCGCGUAGGUGGUUCGUUAAGUUGGAUGUGAAAGCCCCGGGCUCAACCUGGGAACUGCAUUCAAAACUGUCGAGCUAGAGAAUGGUAAAGGGUGGUGGAAUUUCCUGUGUAGCGGUGAAAUGCGUAAAUAUAGGAAGGAACACCAGUGGCGAAGGCGACCACCUGGACUGAUACUGACACUGAGGUGCGAAAGCCUGGGGAGCAAACAGGAUUAGAUACCCUGGUAGUCCACGCCGUACACGAUGUCAACUAGCCCUUGGGAGCCUUGAGCUCUUACUGGCGCAGCUCACCAUUACAUUGACCGCCUGGGGAGUACGGCCGCAAGGUUAAAACUCACAUGAAAUGACGGGGGCCCGCACAAGCGGUGGAGCAUGUGGUUUAAUUCCAUGAAACGCGGAGAAACCUUACCACGCACUUGACAUCCCAUGAACUUUCCAGA